This 467-nucleotide ribosomal RNA is filed under the name uncultured bacterium. RNAcentral's name for it is "partial 16S ribosomal RNA". It matches the Rfam family "Bacterial small subunit ribosomal RNA", at positions 28 to 506 of the family's 1533-position model. The record is from RNAcentral.
GACGAACGCUGGCGGCGUGCUUAACACAUGCAAGUCGAACGGAAAGGCCCUGCUUUUGUGGGGUGCUCGAGUGGCGAACGGGUGAGUAACACGUGAGUAACCUGCCCUUGACUUUGGGAUAACUUCAGGAAACUGGGGCUAAUACCGGAUAGGAGCUCCUGCUGCAUGGUGGGGGUUGGAAAGUUUCGGCGGUUGGGGAUGGACUCGCGGCUUAUCAGCUUGUUGGUGGGGUAGUGGCUUACCAAGGCUUUGACGGGUAGCCGGCCUGAGAGGGUGACCGGCCACAUUGGGACUGAGAUACGGCCCAGACUCCUACGGGAGGAAGUAGUGGGGAAUAUUGCACAAUGGGCGGAGGCCGGAUGCAGCAACGCCGCGUGCGGGAUGACGGCCUUCGGGUUGUAAACCGCUUUCGCCUGUGACGAAGCGUGAGUGACGGUAAUGGGUAAAGAAGCACCGGCUAACUACGU